RNAcentral lists this ribosomal RNA (444 nucleotides) under uncultured bacterium. RNAcentral describes it as "partial 16S ribosomal RNA". It matches the Rfam family "Bacterial small subunit ribosomal RNA", at positions 354 to 796 of the family's 1533-position model. The record is from RNAcentral.
GUGAGGAAUAUUGGACAAUGGGCGCAAGCCUGAUCCAGCCAUGCCGCGUGCAGGAAGACGCAUCUAUGGUGUGUAAACUGCUUUUGUACGGGAAGAAACACUCCCUCGUGAGGGAGCUUGACGGUACCGUAAGAAUAAGGAUCGGCUAACUCCGUGCCAGCAGCCGCGGUAAUACGGAGGAUCCAAGCGUUAUCCGGAAUCAUUGGGUUUAAGGGGUCCGUAGGCGGUUUAAUAAGUCAGUGGUGAAAGCCCAUCGCUCAACGAUGGAACGGCCAUUGAUACUGAUAGACUUGAAUUACAAGGAAGUAACUAGAAUAUGUAGUGUAGCGGUGAAAUGCUUAGAUAUUACAUGGAAUACCAAUUGCGAAGGCAGGUUACUACUUGUGGAUUGACGCUGAUGGACGAAAGCGUGGGGAGCGAACAGGAUUAGAAACCCGGUAGUCC